AGACACAAUAGCAGUAAAACAGUCAUCAUCACUGCUGGGAUGAGAAACCCCUCCUCUUUGCUUUUUUUAACCUUCCUCAGCUGGAAAGUUUUGACAUCUGCUGGUUUGGGACAUGGCUGAGCAGCUGUCAGCAGUGGGGUAGCUGCUCUCAGCAGCAGUUGGCGGGAUGGCAGGGUGCCAGCUUGUACCAUCUGUGCGCCUGACAUUUCAUUCUAAUUAACAGUAGGGUUAAUUGUUCUGGCAGGCUCAAAUGUAGUGUCUAACAUUACCCAAGGGAAACAUGUACAAGUGCAGGAGUGGCAGGGAGCUGGGGACAGCAUCGCUAACAAACCCAUCGAGGGAGAGUGGUUAACAACUACCGAUGAUUUUACUAGCUGGCCACAUGCAAUAAGCUUCCAAGAAAUAGUGAAAUAA
This 414-nucleotide long non-coding RNA is filed under the name Felis catus (domestic cat). RNAcentral describes it as "lncRNA (ENSFCAG00000044378.2)". The record is from RNAcentral. Lineage: Eukaryota; Metazoa; Chordata; Mammalia; Carnivora; Felidae.